This 720-nucleotide ribosomal RNA is filed under the name alpha proteobacterium GM49. RNAcentral's name for it is "bacterial SSU rRNA". It matches the Rfam family "Bacterial small subunit ribosomal RNA", at positions 69 to 835 of the family's 1533-position model. Lineage: Bacteria; Pseudomonadati; Pseudomonadota; Alphaproteobacteria. The record is from RNAcentral.
AACUCUUCGGAGUUAGUGGCGGACGGGUGAGUAACACGUGGGAACGUGCCUUUAGGUUCGGAAUAACUCAGGGAAACUUGUGCUAAUACCGAAUGUGCCCUUCGGGGGAAAGAUUUAUCGCCUUUAGAGCGGCCCGCGUCUGAUUAGCUAGUUGGUGAGGUAAAGGCUCACCAAGGCGACGAUCAGUAGCUGGUCUGAGAGGAUGAUCAGCCACAUUGGGACUGAGACACGGCCCAAACUCCUACGGGAGGCAGCAGUGGGGAAUCUUGCGCAAUGGGCGAAAGCCUGACGCAGCCAUGCCGCGUGAAUGAUGAAGGUCUUAGGAUUGUAAAAUUCUUUCACCGGGGACGAUAAUGACGGUACCCGGAGAAGAAGCCCCGGCUAACUUCGUGCCAGCAGCCGCGGUAAUACGAAGGGGGCUAGCGUUGCUCGGAAUUACUGGGCGUAAAGGGAGCGUAGGCGGACAUUUAAGUCAGGGGUGAAAUCCCGGGGCUCAACCUCGGAAUUGCCUUUGAUACUGGGUGUCUUGAGUAUGAGAGAGGUGUGUGGAACUCCGAGUGUAGAGGUGAAAUUCGUAGAUAUUCGGAAGAACACCAGUGGCGAAGGCGACACACUGGCUCAUUACUGACGCUGAGGCUCGAAAGCGUGGGGAGCAAACAGGAUUAGAUACCCUGGUAGUCCACGCCGUAAACGAUGAUUGCUAGUUGUCGGGAUGCAUGC